CAACCAAACCGGGUCUAAGAUGAAAAAAAUAGAGAAAAAUUCAGUCACCGUCCCCAAACUAUGCUGCCAAGGUCAAUUUGAUACCCGAACUCUCAAAAGUAUCAAUGUGAUACCCAAAGACCUAUUUUGAUAUCAACGUGAUACUUCCGUCCAAAAUUCCUAACGGCUCUGUCUGUUUGCUGAUGUGGUAAGGGUAAAAUUGUCUUUCUCAACUAAUUAAUUAUAAUAAAAAAAAAUUUUAAAAAGAAAAAACAUUAAAAAAGAAAAAAAGAAAAAAAUGAGAUCGAGCUCUGUCUCUCUCUCUUCCUUUGCCAAUCUGAUCCUCUCUCCUUUCUAUCACAAUUGGUUAUUUUUCUGGGAAUGGAUUUGUGGGUUUACAAAGAGCAGCCGAAAUGGAGAAUUUUUUUUUUAAUCGAAAGCGUUUGUGGCUUAUGAAGAACAGUCGGAGCAGCGGGGAUCGUCGCCGGUGUCGGCGACAAGGAGGAGGCUCUGAUGUCCUGCGCAACCAACUGGGAGACCGGUUCGCAACUCCAUCUCCACUUCCGUCGUCGUCCCCACCAAGCUCAGCCACCUCUUCUCCUCCUUAUCCUCCUCCACCACUCCCACCAGUAAGCCCCGCCAUAGCUGCAGCUUCCCAACCCCAAACGGCGCCGUGACGCCGCGCCAUCGGCUACCGCAGCUCGACCUGGAGCUUCUCUCCCUCAAGAGCUCCGAGUCCUACACCUCCCUCAAGGACCUCCUCCCCUCCUCCUCAAUCCAUUUUCAAAGAUUUGUACUAUUUUUCUUUGUUAACAUUGAAGAGAAGCAGCCUUGAUGGUGGCGGUGGCCGUGCGUUCAUCGACGGCUUGGAGAAGCAGAACGGCGAGCUUGUGGAGGGAGGACCAGCCGCUGGGAGGCUCGGAGAAGGCGGCAGAGACAAGAUCGGAGACAAGGUAGAGAAGAUCGUUCUCUGGAACAUGGAGAAUGCUUGGAGCCUUGGACGCAAAAAGAAGAGCUUGAUCGUUAAAAGUGGAGGAACAAAUGCAAGAGGAAGGAAAAGAGAGACUAAAAAUAACAUAAAAGCAUGACAGGAAGGUGAUACACCAGACAAGGAAAAGAGGGAGAGUGUGCAAGCAUGCGAAAAAGAAAUUGUAAACAAAGAAAAAGGGAAGAUGUGGCAGACAAUGGGGAAGAUGUGGGGAGAAGAAAAAGGAGGGAAUAACUAUAAAAAAAAAAAACAAGAA
This is a long non-coding RNA of Rosa rugosa (rugosa rose), 1223 nucleotides long. RefSeq lists it as uncharacterized. NCBI's taxonomy places the organism in Eukaryota, Viridiplantae, Streptophyta, Magnoliopsida, Rosales, Rosaceae. The transcript is spliced from 2 exons. The record is from RefSeq and is a predicted model, not a curated record.